UCCUUCGAGAUGGCCGCCGCACGAUAUGGGAUUAGUGUACGCAUUACCGUGGCAGUCUCCUGUCACGAUUCCUGCCGCCGCAGGGGAACAGCUCCAGCGUGGCCUCUGCGGUUUGUUGUUUUUACCCGUCCCAUUGCAUACCGACGCGGCCCGUGAGCACGGAAAAAACCACGCAACACACAGCGCACUGCCCGGUCUCCUUCAUCUUCGCUCCAAUGGAUUGGGGGCAGGGACGCGAUUCAAUCUCGCCGGCGCUCGCCGCACCAGGCACCUCCCCGGCGGCCGGCUUCAGAUCCAACCAAGCCGCCGGCGGACCGUCCUCCGCAGCCAGGCAGAUCGAUGGAAAGUGUUCGGGGUCGGAUCUAUCGUGGUGUCCAGCCAUCCAGGAUAUUGCGCGAGUCCCAGAUGAAACAACAUGCUCCAAGUAAGUUGCCCGGAGCCGCGGUGCCCGCUGCCGCCCGGAGCUGGAUUUCCCCGGCGGCGCGCCGAUCCCGCUGCCGCCCGGAGCCGCGGUGCCCGAUGCCGCCCGGAGCUGGAUUUCCUCGGCGGCGCGCCGGUCCCGGUGCCUCCUCUUGAAUCCCCCUCCCCCGCUCUAUCUCUGCCCCCUCCCCCGCGGGCUAGGCUGCUGCUAUUUUCGCUCCCUGUAUCGGUGUCGAAUAUUGACCAGAGUCACGGGCCGUGUCCCAUAGCUGUUUGUCUCUUUUCUGGCUGAAACAGUAGUUCCAUCACGGGGGAACAGUGCCCACGCGUAACAGUCUCGUCCCGCUCGUAACAGCCGCCGUGGGUCAAUUACGGGAACGGCUGGCCCCAAUCCAUAGGUAUAUGGAUGGCCAGGAUAGGCGGGCCGGGGCGCACCUGCUCUAAAAUCUAUUUUCGGUAACUACCAAUCUCACCAAAAACCCUAGCACUAUAUAUCUUCGGUAGAUUCAGACAAAUUUCUAGGUUUCGUAGCUUCAUUCAAUUGGUGAAUGACGAGGACAAGGGGUCACUUUAAACUCUAGAUCGAGGACCGGCUUUCCUGUGAACCUAUCAGAUUCGGAGGGAGUAAUGUUGUGGACUCCAAUUGGGGACAUGACAAGCACUGUAGAGGAUGUGCAGAUGUGUCGCGGAAGAAACAAUCUAGAUGCUGCCUCUACCGGUUAUACAGGGGCUAAUACGUAUUUCGAGAUUUUUAAGCUGACCAUCAAUAGGAUCAAUAUAUAUAUAUAUGAGAUGUAUGCUAUAAAAAUUAUACCAUUAGGAACUCCUUUCAAAUACGAAUUCGAUGGUAUACUUUUUGUAACACACACGUCAUAUACUAUUGGUCUAAAUGAUGGUUAAAAUAAAACUUGAAAUACACAUUAGUCCUUAUAUAUUCGGAUGGAGGGAGUACGGAAAAUGAUGUGUGCUUUUGAGAUUUCAGUUAAUUUCUGUUUCUUGGCUGAGAGAUAUUUUUUGGGGAAAAUUUGAAUUUCAAUAAGGCUCAACUUCUCGAUUAAAUGCGUUCCACAAUAAGAACACAACAAUCAAAGCUUCAGGCAUGGUGGUUACAAGCCACCAUCCUCAACGCAACACAGAGAUUGUGGUUUUUAGUCCUUGAGCUCAUAAAAUGUCGGUUUUUCUACACUCGUAGCCGUCCGAGGGACCAACAUAUCAGACAAUGUCAUACUGAAACUAUAAUGAAAAAAAAGGAGGGAAUGUGGGAUUUGAACCCAGAUUCAUCUCAAGUACUCCCUCCAUUCCAUAAUAUAAGGGCGUUUUUGACACUACACUAGUGUCAAAAACGCUCUUAUAUUACGGGACAGAGGGAGUAGUACAUUACCAGUACCACCCUACCACUAGGACCAAGAUGACUCUUUAUCCUUUAGGAAGUUGGAACUGACAGAACUUUUGCCAGUUUGGUGGGGUAAUCAGGGAGCACCGAGAUUUAAAUCCCAGUGUGCAGCUAGUAGCAGAAACGAACACCUUCUCGAUGUAAGGAAAAUCCUAUUCUUAUUUAAAAAUCUUAUGAAAUCCAUACGUACUGGUUUAUUUUGGAUUGUUACUGCUCCCACGAUUUUAGCAACCGUCACUUCAAUGAACUGGUACGUAAAACUUUUUGUCGAACCUGUACGUACGAAUAGCAUUGCUCAUACAAGUUCAAUAUACCAAUUGGUGGGAAAAGUCAGAGGUGAAGGUAGCAGAACAGAACCCCUUCUCUAAAAGUAAAAAAAGCAAAAGAGCCCUUUCUAACCUCCAUCAAGGAAAACCUUCCAUAUCUGCACACAUAAUGCAAGGAGAGACCAGUUGGGGCAGAACAUUGACUUAAGUUCAGUCCAUGACACCAUAUCUUGUUAGGAAUGUUCAGCUGAGCCCAUUUCUUGUUUGGAAAGUUGAAUGCUUAUCUGCUGAAGGGUCUAAAAUCUUAGGAAUCAUGUGCAACUAAUAGUUCCAUAUACACAAUUUAACCUUUGAGAACCAAGCAAGAAAUAAAUACCCUCUUCUGUUAGUGCAGAGAUGCUGCUUUGUACCGUAGCAGCCUUCUGUUGCAACUGGAAACAAGAAUACUCAGUUUCCUUAUUAGUUGGCUUUACUCUUUAGAUAUAUUAUGUGUACUCUUGAUAACUUCCGUUUUUGGCACUCUUCAUGGAUGGGUCAAGUCAAAUAAUCAAGCAUCUGUUAGAGCCUCAGAUUUGGACACUAUUCAUGGAUGGGUCAAGUCAACUAAGCAUAGUACUUCCUCCGUUCCUAAAUAUAAGUCCUUGUAGCGAUUCCACUAUCCGUUCCUAAAUAUAAGGCGACUGAUAGGCGCCGGCGCGCCGGUCGAAAGUUUCGACCGGUCGCGCCCCAGCCACCCGAUUGGCCCAUCCCGAGCCGUUGGAUGCUCGUUCAUUUAGGUCGUCUCCUUCCUUCUCAUCUCUGUUCACGUUUCAGAUCUCAAGAAACACCGCAGGCCAUGGCGGCCGCCCCGUCAUCGCCACGUCGCGCAGCGCAGCGCCCGGCUGCCUCUCCCCCGUUUGUCGCCGUCGACAGCCGCUGCCGUGCUCGCCGCCACCGCUCGCCGACGACAGCCGCCCAUGUUUCAUUGAUAAAUGCAGCUCGCCUGCCGACCGGCUCCAGCGCAUGCCACCGUGGUUGCAACAUCCCUGAGCCCCCACCACCGCCUCCGCUCAUCGCCGUCGUUCGGUUCGCACCACCGUGUCCUCAGCAAAAAAGAAGCAAAAACACAAAACUCCAUUAGUUUGUCAGUAGUAGCAAAAUCACAUGCUGGUUGCAGCAAAAAAAACAUCGAAUCCAACAAAAAAACCUAAAGUUGCGCCGGCCGCUUCAAAAUUUUCAUCUAUCAU
This is a long non-coding RNA of Triticum aestivum (bread wheat), 3305 nucleotides long. RefSeq lists it as uncharacterized. The record is from RefSeq and is a predicted model, not a curated record. NCBI's taxonomy places the organism in Eukaryota, Viridiplantae, Streptophyta, Magnoliopsida, Poales, Poaceae. The transcript is spliced from 2 exons.